RNAcentral lists this ribosomal RNA (269 nucleotides) under uncultured bacterium. Its description in RNAcentral is "partial 16S ribosomal RNA". It matches the Rfam family "Bacterial small subunit ribosomal RNA", at positions 334 to 600 of the family's 1533-position model. The record is from RNAcentral.
UCUUCCUACGGGAGGCAGCAGUGAGGAAUAUUGGUCAAUGGCCGAGAGGCUGAACCAGCCAAGUCGCGUGAGGGAAGACGGCCCUACGGGUUGUAAACUUCUUUUGUCGGGGAACAAAGGCGGAGACGCGUCUCCGGAUGAGUGUACCCGAAGAAAAAGCAUCGGCUAACUCCGUGCCAGCAGCCGCGGUAAUACGGAGGAUGCGAGCGUUAUCCGGAUUUAUUGGGUUUAAAGGGUGCGCAGGCGGGAGAUUCAGUUAGCGGCACAAU